UGUCCUUUUUCUGUUCCAGGAUAUCAUCUAGGAGACCAUGUUACAUUUAAUCAUCAUAUCUCUUUAGGCUCCUCUUGGCUGUGACAGUUUCUC
Non-coding RNA from Ceratotherium simum simum (southern white rhinoceros), 93 nucleotides. NCBI's taxonomy places the organism in Eukaryota, Metazoa, Chordata, Mammalia, Perissodactyla, Rhinocerotidae. The record is from RefSeq and is a predicted model, not a curated record.